Molecule: ribosomal RNA, 429 nt
Filed under: uncultured soil bacterium
Lineage: Bacteria
Description: bacterial SSU rRNA
Rfam family: Bacterial small subunit ribosomal RNA
Source: RNAcentral
AGAACGAACGCUGGCGGCAGGCCUAACACAUGCAAGUCGAACGCCUGUAGCAAUACAGGAGUGGCAGACGGGUGAGUAACACGUGGGAACGUGCCCAAAGGUACGGAACAACUCCGGGAAACUGGAGCUAAUACCGUAUGUGCCCGAAAGGGGAAAGAUUCAUCGCCUUUGGAUCGGCCCGCGUCCGAUUAGCUAGUUGGUGAGGUAAUGGCUCACCAAGGCGACGAUCGGUAGCUGGUCUGAGAGGACGAUCAGCCACACUGGGACUGAGACACGGCCCAGACUCCUACGGGAGGCAGCAGUGGGAAUAUUGGACAAGUCGGGGGACAACCUGAUCCAGCCAUGCCGCGUGAGUGAGUGAAGGUCCGUUACGGGUUAGUAAAGCGUUCGUUUUGGGCGGGGACGAGUGAUCGGACGGUACCGACAGAA